RNAcentral lists this long non-coding RNA (1219 nucleotides) under Sus scrofa (pig). Its description in RNAcentral is "lncRNA (ENSSSCG00025043607.1)". The record is from RNAcentral. Lineage: Eukaryota; Metazoa; Chordata; Mammalia; Artiodactyla; Suidae.
UAUAAUGUGGGAAUCACCUACAUUAUGAAAAUUUCUAUUAAUGUAAAAGACUAGUAAAGAGGUGCUAAACAGUCACAAAUGUAUAUAUUUUCACUUGCAGGUCAAUAAAGUGGUCUCUGAGAAGGUAGCAUUAAGGCUGAUAACCUGAAGCAUGACAAAGGGCUUGCCAGGCACAAAAACCAAAACCAACCAACCAACCAACCAACCAACCAACCAACCAACCAACCAAACAUUAGAAGAUAAUGGAAAAUGUUUUAUUUAUAGCAGGGGAAUGCUCAGCAGCUUCCAGAAACUGAAGAAUUCUGUAUGCUAAAGAGUGAACUGAGAGGAAUGGCUUCAUUAAGACAGUGAAGGGUGUUGUGGAUUCAAGACUCACAUCCCUUCUUGAUAGAUCAAUGAACGCUUGGCCACAGUUCACCUACGUGGGGAUUUUGAUUACAGAACUUGGGUCAUCAAUACUAAUGUGCAUCCAAAUAACCUAUGAUGGACCUCUUUCAAAAAUCUGUGUCUCUGGCCUAUCCCUCUGAGAUGGACUUAAGAGAACCCUGCACACCAUCAGUGCUCUCCAAGAGGAUGUCAGAAUGUUCAAACAUAAACAAUAAAAAUAUAGAAGAAAGAGAAACCAAAAGAGCAGAAGAAAGAACAUUGUAUCAAUAGCGUAAUGAGAACCAGAGAAAGAGAACCACCGCAUAUGUCUAUUCUUCCCUUGACCAUGCUACAAACCACCCCGUCAUUCCAGAAGGAGAUCAAGCAAAGAUUUAAAAUGCAUGCCCUUCUCUUUGCUGAGAUUUUUUUUUUCCAUCACAAUUGAAUACUUCUUAAGAAGUUUGCACUAAUAUCUUGAUUACUGUGGUUAUGAUCUAUUUUUGUUCAUCUUUUGUGUGCCUUGAAAUGGGAGAUAUGGGGUUCUAGUCCUGAGUGCUCUAAUAGCAGAAAGAAGGCAAAUAUACAGGUAACAUUUUUUAGUAGUUCCCCUAAAUACUUCCACUUAAAUUUCUUAUAUAUUUAUUUGUUUAUUUAAUUGUUUAUUUGAAGUAACUUCAGAUAGUAGAGAAAAUAAGCAAGGUAGUUUGUCCUUCCAUUCCUAACUGUAAAAUAUAUUUAAACAAUUUUCUGAAGGAAAGAAAGGAUACUAGACUGUAAAGUAAGGUAAACUAUGACCCUCAGGCUAAAUCCAGGCCACAGCUUGUUUUUGGAAAUAAAGUUUAAUUGAACCACA